Molecule: long non-coding RNA, 551 nt
Filed under: Malus domestica (apple)
Lineage: Eukaryota; Viridiplantae; Streptophyta; Magnoliopsida; Rosales; Rosaceae
Description: long non-coding RNA (MDOM_LNC018835)
Source: RNAcentral
UCGUUUGAUGUGUAUAACACAAUUGAAAUAAGUUUCAAGAGAGAUAGUGGGAGUUUAGGGACCAUGACUAUUAUAGUCAAAGGAGAAGUCAAAUGAAGAAGGGGAAAUAACUCCAAGGGAACAAACUUUCUUUAUGAAAGGAUGGACAUUGGAAGGGGUAUUUGCAAGAAAUGUCUUGCAAGUGUCAAGAACACACCUUUCGAAGGUGUUGUAAAUUGUUCUUGAAAAGUUCAAAACAGUUGGUUCUUCUACUUGAAUGCUUGAUUCCGUAUUGGUAACUAUGUUUUACAAUCGUUGUAAAAGUGUGGCUAAUAAGAAGUAGAAGAUUAAUGAGAGAAGAGAAAGUACUUCACAUUUGGAACGUGAAUCAAAUGUAGAUCUCUGCGAAAGCAAAUCAUACUUACUUCCUCAUAUGAACUACCAAAGAAAUUGGAAAAACCAAAGAUUGUCUUUACAUUCCAAUUUUAAGGAACUUAAUUCCAUCACUAUGAGAGAUGGAUGAAUGUUUUGUUUGACAAAACAUUGUUCUUUAUUAAUGAAUGAUUAGAUUA